Long non-coding RNA from Etheostoma spectabile (orangethroat darter), 1735 nucleotides. RefSeq lists it as uncharacterized. The record is from RefSeq and is a predicted model, not a curated record. The transcript has 3 exons. NCBI's taxonomy places the organism in Eukaryota, Metazoa, Chordata, Actinopteri, Perciformes, Percidae.
ACACUCACACUCACACUCACACUCACACACACACACACACAUAUACACGGUUGUUGGGAUCCCAGCAGCCAGUUUUUCAGGGCGCGGAUAUAACCAUCCUUUCCAUACUAAAAAAGUACGGAGAAAUUAAAAAAAAUAAGUGGAAGCCACAAGUAGUGACAAGGAGGAAGUGUUGUAAGUGGUGCUAGCGCUAAAUAAAGUAACGUAGGAGCGUUAGCAAGACGGGGGGAAAGAAGAAGGAUAAGAUGAUGCUCAGUGGACAAGAUGAUUGUAAAUAAAAGUUGAGGAAGCAGGAAGGAGUUGCCUUCAUUUUUAAAAUACUGACCAUUUACACAACUUCUCCCAUCAUAAAGCUAAACUGACUCCCAGUCUGAAUAUCGUUUCAAAAUGUUGUGUUCAAUAUGGUCGUGAUUUAAAAGCACUUUUGUUCUGAUGUAGAUUGUUUUUGAAUGAUAAUGUAGAGUAAUAUGCUUGGUGUCCAAACCAACAAAGAAAUCUUUACUCAUACUGUAUCUUAACCAUAAACGUUGCCAAAGCUCAUGCGUCAUGUAUACAUUUUGAGUUUUACCAUGCCAAGUAAUUCAUUCAUUCAUUGUGUACUUAGCACUUUAUUUCCUAUUGGAGCUGAUAUGCAAUGCCAUAUUUAACUCUCAUGUGUCUAGAUUCCAUUUAAAACUUUAAUACAUUAUUGAAACAUCCUAGUAAGUAUUAUCAAGUUGUUAAAGCCACAGCUAGCAGUCAUGUGUGUACUUUUGUCUGCUCUUUGGUAGUUUUCAACUUUCCUGUUUUUUGUCUUAUUUUGAUUAACAUACAGUACAUACUUCCUGUGUCCAUUGGACAGAUCUCAGGGAACCCACCCUUUCCCCCCAACCUGGGAAGAAAACCAAAACUGGGGGAAAAAUAGGUGUUUUUUUUUUUUUUUUAAUAAUCUAAAGGAACUUAUAUAUUUUGUGGUUAAAUCAUGCCAGACUUAGACUUCAUUUUACUUCUCUCAGCCCAAAAACUGUGGACUUAUGUGAAGGAGCCCUGUUUUCUUAGGUACUGACUGAGUGUCUUCUCCAAUUACAUCCCACCAGCAUAAAGCAAAAUGCUAACCAAAUGAUUUUAUUUUGAAACAUCUCAACGUUUUCCUGCACAAUACGUUGCAUAAGAUAUCACACAUUCCAGGCUCUCAAGAAAAAGAAGGAAAAAAAAGACCAUCUGCGUGUGUGUAUAUUUCUGUAUAUAUUGGUGCUUUGUGGUGUAUAUAUUUUGCUUUUAAUGAUCAGUAUUGUUUAUGUGCUGCAGUGGCAUAUGCAUUAGGUCAAGCACUGGUGUUGCAAACCCAAAAAGUUUUACAUUUUUUUCAAUCUAACUGAAGCAUUUCAGUCAAAGCUAUACAUGUAUUUAAUAUACAGUUUUGUUCCACAACAGGAAGCUCAGCAGUUGCCAGUUAAAACCUCCACUGGCCUUCUUAUUCCUGGUCGGUGGACAGUGUGCAACAAGAUAGCGCCAAAGCCCACCUUCUUGUCUUUGCUCUGUUUCAUUUAAUGCAUUUUGUUUUAAAAUGGUGUUACAAAUUUGUCUUUGAAAACAUUUCAUCUUUGUAUCUCAUAUCUGUUUUUUUGCAGAUGUAGCACUUCUCCUGCUUUUGCACUUGACAAAGUCGAAUAAAGAGUUUGACAGCUGAACUGUGCAUAAUGAAAUGGUUUGUGGUGUUGAACACUAAGUAAGGGAUAGUGUAGAGAGAGCAGGU